UGCGGGAUGGAGCAGUCUGGUAGCUCGUCGGGCUCAUAACCCGGGGGUCGUUGGGUCGAAUCCAGCCCCCGCUACCA
This 77-nucleotide transfer RNA is filed under the name Marinobacter nauticus. Its description in RNAcentral is "tRNA-Met". It matches the Rfam family "tRNA". From Rfam's summary of the family: Transfer RNA (tRNA) molecules are approximately 80 nucleotides in length. Lineage: Bacteria; Pseudomonadati; Pseudomonadota; Gammaproteobacteria; Pseudomonadales; Marinobacteraceae. The record is from RNAcentral.